CACGCCGUAAACGAUGUCUACUAGCCGUUGGGUUCCUUGAGGACUUAGUGGCGCAGCUAACGCAAUAAGUAGACCGCCUGGGGAGUACGGUCGCAAGAUUAAAACUCAAAUGAAUUGACGGGGGCCCGCACAAGCGGUGGAGCAUGUGGUUUAAUUCGACGCAACGCGAAGAACCUUACCAGGUCUUGACAUCCAGAGAACUUUCCAGAGAUGGAUUGGUGCCUUCGGGAACUCUGAGACAGGUGC
RNAcentral lists this ribosomal RNA (246 nucleotides) under uncultured Cellvibrio sp. RNAcentral's name for it is "partial 16S ribosomal RNA". It matches the Rfam family "Bacterial small subunit ribosomal RNA", at positions 796 to 1041 of the family's 1533-position model. The record is from RNAcentral. Lineage: Bacteria; Pseudomonadati; Pseudomonadota; Gammaproteobacteria; Cellvibrionales; Cellvibrionaceae.